GAUGAACGCUAGCUACAGGCUUAACACAUGCAAGUCGAGGGGCAGCGGUAUCGGAAGCUUGCUUUCGGUAGCCGGCGACCGGCGCACGGGUGAGUAACGCGUAUCGAACCUGCCUCAUACUCGGGAAUAGCCUUCGAAAGUAAGAUUAAUGCCCGGUGUUUUCAGAGUCCCGCAUGAGGCUUUGAACAAAGAUUUAUCGGUAUGAGAUGGCGAUGCGUCCCAUUAGCUUGUUGGCGGGGUAACGGCCCACCAAGGCAUCGAUGGGUAGGGGUUCUGAGAGGAAGGUCCCCCACAUUGGAACUGAGACACGGUCCAAACUCCUACGGGAGGCAGCAGUGAGGAAUAUUGGUCAAUGGGCGGAAGCCUGAACCAGCCAAGUAGCGUGCAGGAAGACGGCCCUCCGGGUUGUAAACUGCUUUUAGUUGGGAAUAAAACGGGGCUCGUGAGCCCCCUUGCAUGUACCAUCAGAAAAAGGACCGGCUAAUUCCGUG
Molecule: ribosomal RNA, 491 nt
Filed under: uncultured bacterium
Lineage: Bacteria
Description: partial 16S ribosomal RNA
Rfam family: Bacterial small subunit ribosomal RNA
Source: RNAcentral